CAGUCGCCGCGGGAAUACAGAGGGUGCGAGCGUUAAUCGGAUUUACUGGGCGUAAAGCGUGCGUAGGCGGCUUUUUAAGUCGGAUGUGAAAUCCCUGAGCUUAACUUAGGAAUUGCAUUCGAUACUGGGAAUCUAGAGUAUGGGAGAGGAUGGUAGAAUUCCAGGUGUAGCGGUGAAAUGCGUAGAGAUCUGGAGGAAUACCGAUGGCGAAGGCAGCCAUCUGGCCUAAUACUGACGCUGAGGUACGAAAGCAUGGGGAGCAAACAGGAUUAGAUACCCGUGUAGUCCCUGUCUCUUAUAC
Molecule: ribosomal RNA, 301 nt
Filed under: uncultured bacterium
Lineage: Bacteria
Description: partial 16S ribosomal RNA
Rfam family: Bacterial small subunit ribosomal RNA
Source: RNAcentral